CUUGAGCAUCUCCAUAUGAAACAAUUAAUGGAACAGAAAGGCAGUGAGAAGAAAUCCACCAAGGACUUCUGAGAAGUGAAGCUGCAGUCCUGCAAGGUGUGCCUAUUAAUGCCACAGGAGAGGGGCAAUAAUUAAAAAUGUGUUUUUCAGGACCACCGGCUGAACUAACAUGAACAGAGAUGCACAUGUGGUAAAGCAUCCUUCCUCCCACUCCAUCAGGCUGUACAUCAGUUAAGAUUUAUCACUGCUGAUGACAGAUACCUGACCUCACAUAACUCUUUAAGCACAGAGUUUUGUUGUAACAGUUGUAGUUAAAUAAAGUGUUAUUUCUCUUAAGCCUUAAAUAAAAGAACAGUGGAAAACAGUGGGAAGAAAUAAGCUUCACCCCUCAUACUGACCUGUUCAAGCGACUUGCCAGCCCACCCAAUGGCCUUCAUCUUUCUCCUUAUCUCCCAUUGCUUCUGAUAGGACAAAAUGCGGUUAAGAGGCCAGGGGUAAGGGGAGCCAUACCUCGGGUGAGUAAUCUUUGGUAAGAAACAGAAAGUGACUUUGUUAUCAUAUAAACAAUGCAGACAGCUCUAUUUACAAAACAGCUAGUAGUCUCAUCUUUCUAUCACUGAGAGCAAUAAAGAGAAAGAAUGUUGUGUGAUAUGCUGCAAUUAUUUGUGCAGAAUUUAUUGUUUUCAGUAGAACCAUUUAAAAUUACUACCUUGGAAACAUAUGCAAAACUCCUAUUUGUUCCACAGUCACAUACCUCCAGUCAAGUUACAACUUCCCUAAAAUGUAUAUGCAAGCAGAAUGCAAGUGAAAAGACUGUAUCAUUAAUGGUACAGAGCUCAAUGUUUCAUUUAUGAGUAGGGACUUCCAUUUGUGAGCAAAAGUGUUUUCUCAUUAAAUUUUAAUUAAGAUAAAUGUUGCAGAACCACUCACCUCCUCUACUGUAACAUCAUCACACCAUUGCAGAUAGAGCUAGGAACAGAAAGAACACUUACUACAACUUCCUAAUAAACGAGAAUACAGAUACAAUCAUUUCUCACUAGUAGAAUUUUCCUUUCUAUAUUAGAUUAAAUUUCCAUUUAGUGCCUUCUAUUAGACUUCUGAACAUAGUAAAGAAAUUAAAACUAGAGUCACAAGCCCAGCUCCAAGUUGCUGGCUCACAAGCAGCACAACCAGGCUGGAGCCGAAGGCCCGCUCCAGUUGCCUGUGCCACACACAGCUCAACACACAGGUUCCCAGCCCUCAGCCGUGUGCCUGGGGUUGCUCGUGCCUGCGAGCAUUUCCAGCACCGGCACCACGUCACAUUAACGGCUCAUGGGCACGACCCGCGGGGCAGGCCAGCCUCCAGCAAGGCACAGGAGCGUGCAUGGAAGGCGACAGUGGGGCUGUACAGCAGGCUAUGGGUUGAGGCAGGAACCCAAGGACUGCUGGCGUUUUCCAUGCACGCAAAUCAGGCAUUUCUACAGCUACGGGGCAUGCUUCAGACAGGUGAGGGGAGCUGUACACGUGGCUUGUGUCUGCAGGAAUAUUUCAUCAAGUAGUCCUCAGGAUCCAGAGAAUUUAUUCCCGUCUCAUUUCACCUUAAAAACCGAUGACCUGAUUUAAGAUUUAAUCUAAGAACAAACACUAUUUCCAGAACGAGAAAAUAUCAUGAAGCAUUCUUGCCUACAAUCGCUUAUGGAAGUAUGUGCAGUUACUAUGGUUUGCUGUACCUCCGCUGUCAGGAGCAUAUUAUUGACUAAUUCCAUGUAGGCUUUCAUCUCAGCUUUUUGGACUUCAUCCAACCCAUCGCUGAGAGAAUGGCCCUAAUGGGGAAAGAAAGAGACACAUAAGAGAGGAUAUUGGAAUAUUCAGCAAUGCCUGACCCAAGGACCUCAGAAGUCAACGUGCUUUGGCUCAGAUACUGAUCUGUCACACAGCACGUAACAAGUUGUGUGUGUACUUUCUGCAUAAAGCAUCCUUUAGAAUGAAAAAGAAAUCAUCAUAAUGUAACAGAAGUGAUCUGCAAUAAAUGUGGGUUGUUAGCAGUUACAGGUGAGCACACAACCUGUGUCAAGAAGUAAACACAGAUUUACAUCUGUGCUGCAGCUUUAUGAAGUGCUCACUGAGAAGACAAUGUUGUUGAAAAUACAGCUUCAAAAUUUACACCAGUAAUUUCUGGGUUUAAGAAUUCUCAGACAGAGAUGUAGAAAACCAGCUGCAGAAAUUGGCAGUGGUAUGCACGUGUCCUGCAUGGGAUUUGCUUCCUGAAUUUGAGGUAAUGCCAAAGUGAAACAUUUCCACCUCAGCGCUCUCACUUCAGAGUAUCUUUCUCUUGAACCAGCACGAGAUUGCUGCACUGUUUCAAACAGUAACGUUCCAGAAGAGCACAGCAGCUCCACAGCAGUCUGAGGAAGACUGGUACGCAACCCAGCAACAGACGCAGACCCUGUGUGAUUACCUUGGCUUUCACAAACUGGACUAUGGGCCCGAGUUCAGAUACUACUUGGUUUCCCACAUGAAUAAAGGGCACUUUGCCUGUAAAAUGAGAAAUGUAUUUUAGUAGGAGCUUUUUAUACAUGUCAACCAUCAUUUCAUAUUUUCAAAGCAAU
Molecule: long non-coding RNA, 2588 nt
Filed under: Gallus gallus (chicken)
Lineage: Eukaryota; Metazoa; Chordata; Aves; Galliformes; Phasianidae
Description: long non-coding RNA NONGGAT008511
Source: RNAcentral